This 47-nucleotide non-coding RNA is filed under the name Thioalkalivibrio sulfidiphilus. RNAcentral describes it as "Thioalkalivibrio sulfidophilus Guanidine-II sequence". It matches the Rfam family "Guanidine-II riboswitch aptamer (mini-ykkC)". From Rfam's summary of the family: Simpler in structure and has fewer highly conserved nucleotide positions than the ykkC-yxkD leader. Despite this each of its two stem-loop structures directly bind free guanidine. Therefore, mini-ykkC RNA motif represents a distinct class of guanidine-sensing RNAs. Lineage: Bacteria; Pseudomonadati; Pseudomonadota; Gammaproteobacteria; Chromatiales; Ectothiorhodospiraceae. The record is from RNAcentral.
CUGGCGGGACGACCCCCGGGCGCGGUGGACCUUGCGGGACGACCCGC